GUGCACGCUGGCGGUAGGCCUAACACAUGCAAGUCGCACGGCAGCACAGUAAGAGCUUGCUCUUACGGGUGGCGAGUGGCGGACGGGUGAGGAAUACAUCGGAAUCUACUUUUUCGUGGGGGAUAACGUAGGGAAACUUACGCUAAUACCGCAUACGACCUACGGGUGAAAGCAGGGGAUCUUCGGACCUUGCGCGAUUGAAUGAGCCGAUGUCGGAUUAGCUAGUUGGCGGGGUAAAGGCCCACCAGGGCGACGAUCCGUAGCUGGUCUGAGAGGAUGAUCAGCCACACUGGAACUGAGACACGGUCCAGACUCCUACGGGAGGCAGCAGUGGGGAAUAUUGGACAAUGGGCGCAAGCCUGAUCCAGCCAUACCGCGUGGGUGAAGAAGGCCUUCGGGUUGUAAAGCCCUUUUGUUGGGAAAGAAAAGCAGCAGGUUAAUACCCCGCUGUUCUGACGGUACCCAAAGAAUAAGCACCGGCUAACUUCGUG
RNAcentral lists this ribosomal RNA (491 nucleotides) under uncultured bacterium. Its description in RNAcentral is "partial 16S ribosomal RNA". It matches the Rfam family "Bacterial small subunit ribosomal RNA", at positions 29 to 507 of the family's 1533-position model. The record is from RNAcentral.